Molecule: ribosomal RNA, 1260 nt
Filed under: Bacillus safensis
Lineage: Bacteria; Bacillati; Bacillota; Bacilli; Caryophanales; Bacillaceae
Description: bacterial SSU rRNA
Rfam family: Bacterial small subunit ribosomal RNA
Source: RNAcentral
UUGCUCCCGGAUGUUAGCGGCGGACGGGUGAGUAACACGUGGGUAACCUGCCUGUAAGACUGGGAUAACUCCGGGAAACCGGAGCUAAUACCGGAUAGUUCCUUGAACCGCAUGGUUCAAGGAUGAAAGACGGUUUCGGCUGUCACUUACAGAUGGACCCGCGGCGCAUUAGCUAGUUGGUGGGGUAAUGGCUCACCAAGGCGACGAUGCGUAGCCGACCUGAGAGGGUGAUCGGCCACACUGGGACUGAGACACGGCCCAGACUCCUACGGGAGGCAGCAGUAGGGAAUCUUCCGCAAUGGACGAAAGUCUGACGGAGCAACGCCGCGUGAGUGAUGAAGGUUUUCGGAUCGUAAAGCUCUGUUGUUAGGGAAGAACAAGUGCGAGAGUAACUGCUCGCACCUUGACGGUACCUAACCAGAAAGCCACGGCUAACUACGUGCCAGCAGCCGCGGUAAUACGUAGGUGGCAAGCGUUGUCCGGAAUUAUUGGGCGUAAAGGGCUCGCAGGCGGUUUCUUAAGUCUGAUGUGAAAGCCCCCGGCUCAACCGGGGAGGGUCAUUGGAAACUGGGAAACUUGAGUGCAGAAGAGGAGAGUGGAAUUCCACGUGUAGCGGUGAAAUGCGUAGAGAUGUGGAGGAACACCAGUGGCGAAGGCGACUCUCUGGUCUGUAACUGACGCUGAGGAGCGAAAGCGUGGGGAGCGAACAGGAUUAGAUACCCUGGUAGUCCACGCCGUAAACGAUGAGUGCUAAGUGUUAGGGGGUUUCCGCCCCUUAGUGCUGCAGCUAACGCAUUAAGCACUCCGCCUGGGGAGUACGGUCGCAAGACUGAAACUCAAAGGAAUUGACGGGGGCCCGCACAAGCGGUGGAGCAUGUGGUUUAAUUCGAAGCAACGCGAAGAACCUUACCAGGUCUUGACAUCCUCUGACAACCCUAGAGAUAGGGCUUUCCCUUCGGGGACAGAGUGACAGGUGGUGCAUGGUUGUCGUCAGCUCGUGUCGUGAGAUGUUGGGUUAAGUCCCGCAACGAGCGCAACCCUUGAUCUUAGUUGCCAGCAUUCAGUUGGGCACUCUAAGGUGACUGCCGGUGACAAACCGGAGGAAGGUGGGGAUGACGUCAAAUCAUCAUGCCCCUUAUGACCUGGGCUACACACGUGCUACAAUGGACAGAACAAAGGGCUGCAAGACCGCAAGGUUUAGCCAAUCCCAUAAAUCUGUUCUCAGUUCGGAUCGCAGUCUGCAACUCGACUGCGUGAAGC